Long non-coding RNA from Peromyscus maniculatus bairdii (prairie deer mouse), 826 nucleotides. RefSeq lists it as uncharacterized. NCBI's taxonomy places the organism in Eukaryota, Metazoa, Chordata, Mammalia, Rodentia, Cricetidae. The record is from RefSeq and is a predicted model, not a curated record.
UGGAAAACUGCAGGAGACUUCUCGGCGGGGAGCCAGAAGGUUCCCGGCUCCCACCCUGUGACUGCAAAGGGAAGUCAGGAGGUCUGUGCAUUUCGGGAGCCAGCCUGCAUGGAGGCCUCCCUUUGAAAUCCCCAGCACUCCGUCAAUCCUCGGUACAGGAAGGCCCUGGAUGAAAGGCUGAUGAGAGACGUGUAAAGGGAGCACUUUUGUUUCUAAGCUUAUGGAGAAGGGUGGAGAAUUUUUUAACGGAGCCAAACCACACACGCCUCUAUUGGGGCGUGAAAAACACUCGGACGGGGAACAGCGCGCCUGCCUCCACUUGCCAUGCGCGGCGCACACAAGGCCACAGGAGCGAAACGAGAAAGCGUAUUUACUUAGUGGAAACUCUCAAAUAAUGGCCCUGCCUGCCCCAGCAGUCUAAACACCAAAGACCCUGCUGGAGGGGCAGCUCCUGGGACCCUCAGGAACACGCUUUGGGAAACAGCAGCGUCGCGUCACCAGUCAAAUGGACUCUAAUUGGCCCUGGAGUGCAAUGGUCUUUUUCUUUUUAAUAAGAAACAACAAAUACUACAGCUCCUGCCUCAACAAUAAAAAUGUCUUACAAAGCAAAAGCCUGCGCCUCAAUGUGUCACGGCUGCAUGUCCCUUCACUCCAGCGCAUCAGAAGGAGCCUAGGAUGGCCUCUGGAUCUGUCCUGGAAAAGACUUCAGUAAUCAGACCGUCUCAGGCCACUGGGGUAUUUUUUUCCACAAUGAUUCCUUUUAUUUGUAACAUAUGCGAAAUUAAAAUAAACUUUAUAUGACUUUUUUAUUUCCACAAGCCCUUUA